This 1193-nucleotide ribosomal RNA is filed under the name Bacillus amyloliquefaciens. RNAcentral describes it as "bacterial SSU rRNA". It matches the Rfam family "Bacterial small subunit ribosomal RNA", at positions 37 to 1200 of the family's 1533-position model. The record is from RNAcentral. Lineage: Bacteria; Bacillati; Bacillota; Bacilli; Caryophanales; Bacillaceae.
UCCGNGGGGGGUGCUAUACAUGCAAGUCGAGCGGACAGAUGGGAGCUUGCUCCCUGAUGUUAGCGGCGGACGGGUGAGUAACACGUGGGUAACCUGCCUGUAAGACUGGGAUAACUCCGGGAAACCGGGGCUAAUACCGGAUGGUUGUUUGAACCGCAUGGUUCAGACAUAAAAGGUGGCUUCGGCUACCACUUACAGAUGGACCCGCGGCGCAUUAGCUAGUUGGUGAGGUAACGGCUCACCAAGGCGACGAUGCGUAGCCGACCUGAGAGGGUGAUCGGCCACACUGGGACUGAGACACGGCCCAGACUCCUACGGGAGGCAGCAGUAGGGAAUCUUCCGCAAUGGACGAAAGUCUGACGGAGCAACGCCGCGUGAGUGAUGAAGGUUUUCGGAUCGUAAAGCUCUGUUGUUAGGGAAGAACAAGUGCCGUUCAAAUAGGGCGGCACCUUGACGGUACCUAACCAGAAAGCCACGGCUAACUACGUGCCAGCAGCCGCGGUAAUACGUAGGUGGCAAGCGUUGUCCGGAAUUAUUGGGCGUAAAGGGCUCGCAGGCGGUUUCUUAAGUCUGAUGUGAAAGCCCCCGGCUCAACCGGGGAGGGUCAUUGGAAACUGGGGAACUUGAGUGCAGAAGAGGAGAGUGGAAUUCCACGUGUAGCGGUGAAAUGCGUAGAGAUGUGGAGGAACACCAGUGGCGAAGGCGACUCUCUGGUCUGUAACUGACGCUGAGGAGCGAAAGCGUGGGGAGCGAACAGGAUUAGAUACCCUGGUAGUCCACGCCGUAAACGAUGAGUGCUAAGUGUUAGGGGGUUUCCGCCCCUUAGUGCUGCAGCUAACGCAUUAAGCACUCCGCCUGGGGAGUACGGUCGCAAGACUGAAACUCAAAGGAAUUGACGGGGGCCCGCACAAGCGGUGGAGCAUGUGGUUUAAUUCGAAGCAACGCGAAGAACCUUACCAGGUCUUGGACAUCCUCUGACAAUCCUAGAGAUAGGACGUCCCCUUCGGGGGCGGAGUGACAGGUGGUUGCAUGGUUGUCGUCAGCUCGUGUCGUGAGAUGUUGGGUUAAGUCCCGCCACGAGCGCCAACCCUUGGAUCUUUAUUUGCCAGCAUUCAGUUGGGCACUCUAAAGGUGACUGCCGGGUGACCAACCCGGGAGAAAGGUGGGGGGAUGACGUCAAAAUCAUCUUGGCC